CCCCGGUGGAAAGUCACAGCAGCGCGCCCGGAAGGACGGUCUGCAAGGUCUGCACGGUUUGCACGGUUUGCACGAGGAAGGUGGCGACCCCGGGCAGGCUCCGGCUUUGAGGGAUUUACAGCUAGCCUCGUUGAAUGAAGCUGGCAUAGACAGGAAAGUUAUGAGGUGUGGAGUUUCGCUCCCGUGUCCUGUGGUGACGUAAGCGUGGACCUCUGGCUCUGGGCAAGAGUGUCUCCAAGUUUUGCUGGCCUCAUCAGCAGCAUGGGGAAGAGGAGAAAGUUCUAUGAGAUCUGCUCCUUGACUUUACCUUUGGUCCACAAAGACCCUGUAGGAUUUUCACAUUUGUCUUCGGAAAGUCUGAACACGCCUGCCAGAUGGUUGACAGUGACCCCCACAAGACACAGAAUGGAGGCUUGGUGUGGUCCCGGUCCCUGCACGGGGCACACAAAAGUUGCCAAGUGGGUAUUGCAAGUUUUGAGGGACUUCAAAUAUCUCAGAGAAAAGAUGUGUAACUACACAUAGUCACGAAGAUAAUGAGUUCAUGGCUUACUCACUUCUCUUCACCCGGAAAAAUAAUGUACGCUAAAUGCUGUGUUUUUAAUCUGGGCCAAAUAACUUGGCUGAAAGCUCUCUGGGCUUAUCCUACUUGAUUCUACACACAGUCCUAAUAUGUAGGCUGUUACUGACACCCUUGUUUUAGAGAGAGGGAUGCUUUCCACAGAAAGGGGAAGCUGCUGAUGUCACGGACCUCACGAGGAAGGGAGCAGGUAUUCAAACCCAGGGAGACCGACUGAAUGCCGAUAUACUAACGACCAGACUAGACUUUGAGGGAUUUGCCCCCUUCCCCCCAGGGAGGGUGGUGUGGGUCUUGAGGACCUUUCAGGAUUGCACCCUACUCAUCCAGGAUUCUCCUCAAACAAUCCACAGGUUCCAAGCUCCCACUGGCAAAGCACCAGGAGCGAGUUACAAAGUGUGCUGAACUACCCAUGGAGGGGCCACAUCUGAUCUUCAGAGCAAGCCUCUGCCCCUUCCUCCCACCGGGUUCCAAUAUCCAAGAGUCAGACCUUAUGUUUCCAGCCCCUGGUGCGUAGAGGUGCUUGAUUAAAUCUUUUGAUAAGAAUUAAGUUUUGGUCCAUCACUGAGAAGAGAGCAUAAUUAACAGGCUUAAAAAAAAAAAAUAGGCUGCUUGUUAGAGCAGUUUUAGAUUCACAGUAACAUUGAGGGGACAGUACAGAGUGCUCCCUCACCCCUGCACCGGUUAUGGUUGAUGAACCUGCACGGAUCCACCAUCAUCACCCAGAGUCCAUAGUUCACGCCAGGGCUCACUCUUGGUGUUGUGCAUUCCGUGGGGUUCGACAACUGUAGAAGGACAUGCAUGCACCAGACAGUAUCAUUCAGAAUAGUCCCACUGCCCUAACAGUUCUCUGUGCUCUGCCUUCUAACGCUUCCCUACCCAGCCCCUGGCAACCACUGCUCUUACUGUCUCCGUUCUUUCGCCUUUUCUAGAAGGUCAUAUAGUUGGAAUCACUCAGUACAUUGCCUUUUCAGAUUGGCUGCUUUCGCUUAGUGAUUUGCACUUAAGGUUCCUCCUUGUCUGGUCACGGCUUGAUAGGUCAUUUCCCUUCAGUGCUGAGUAUUAGUCCAUUGUCUAAGGAGAGCAUAAUUUUCAUCUCAUAGAAAUGAAAAGCACUCCCUAGAUCCAUGGAAUUUGUACUGAACGUCGGAGCCAGAACCAGCACAGAACUGCUGGCACAUCCAGGAUCCACUGUCCCUAAAGAGACACAGAAAAUAUUUUUUUCCCCCUGAAUGGCAAUAGCGAUUGGAUCCUGACCCAUAGGUCCCCAUGAUAAAAAGCAGCCCAUGUGGCCCUGUCAUCUGAAGUGCGAACAGCUAUUAUGUAUACGGUCCAGUCUCAAGGACCGGCAUGCUUAGCUUCAUGAAUAAAGCGCUUGCUGGAAAUUGCACUUCUAGGUAUUUAUCCAAAGGAUGCAGGUGUGCUGAU
Lynx canadensis (Canada lynx) is the source of this 2002-nucleotide long non-coding RNA. RefSeq lists it as uncharacterized. The record is from RefSeq and is a predicted model, not a curated record. NCBI's taxonomy places the organism in Eukaryota, Metazoa, Chordata, Mammalia, Carnivora, Felidae. The transcript has 3 exons.